AUAAACAGGCAGUUCUCAGGGUGGUUAGCAGACACCCGCUCCACCCAGCAGCUGCUUAGUAAUCACAAGCUACCUCCCAUAAAGGGGGAUCAGCCCCUGUUGCUGCUCCUGCAGGAAGUUCCUUCUAGAACCCCUGCAAUGGGAGGCCUGGUACACGCAGGACUCCAGGCUGUCCUUGAAGCUGAUAACACAGGAAGCCGGGAGACAGGCAGUGAGCCAGAGGGGCAGGUGUGGAAGGGAGGGGUUCUUAUCAGAUAGUGUGAGAAAGCCUCAGAGCCAACAAGUCCCCUGUGGUUCCCAGAGGGGCCUGUGCCCUCUCUCCGCAUCCUCUGAGCUGCACCCCUCUCUCUGGGGCUUCCUUGUGAAGCUCCCUGUACCCAUCCAGGGUUGCAUGGGAUGUUUGCUGCAACCAGACAACCACCUGCAGGGCCGGGUCUACUCACCUACUGACACAGUAGAACGCAAUCAGUCUGAAGAUGUCCUCAAACACAAGAGCUGAGCCUUCCAGGUACAAAACUGGGGAGAGAGAAGAAGGGCCCUGGGUAAGGCCCCAAAGGAACACCUCAGACUUGAGGAAGUCCCAACAAACAGCCUCGCACCUUUCUAGAACACAGGCCCAGCUCUGGCCCAGGAUGAAGCUUCUAGAGACAGCAGAGCCCAGACUUCAUUUCUUUUUACCAUCCUGGGUCCAGGACCUCGCCUGGACCAUCUCACAUGCUUCACGGGGCUCAUCGUUGCUGCAAGCAGCAUGUCACGCUGAGGCAACUCCCGACUACAUUGUUCAUGCUGUAAUAAAAGAUUCCUUUUUUUGGAAGCUGCUCUUCUGUAUUGAGCAAGUGCGUAGAUGAGACUUUUUAAAAGUCUGAGAAAAGGAAUACAGUGCAAGCAUACAAACUGUCACAAUGCAGCCAGGACUUCGACUGGGAGCUAUUUAUAGGUUCAGAUGCCAAAACAGAAGGGGAGACGUUGGACAGAUUUGCAAAUUGCCAAGUGUCAGGAAAGGCUAAAUAAAGAGAAACUAGGCCUGGGGAGAUUACUGGGAGAAGGCGAGGUGGAAGGAGUGGUGGGAGAUGCUGGGUAAAGGCGCCACCCUGGAAAGAGGUGCAUGUCGGGGAAAGCAAUCCCACCUGCUCCCUGCUCACACCGCAGGGCCGCGGAGAUGUCUUUGACUGGACCCACUGAGAAAAAAACACUUUGUUCUCUCCGGGAACAGAGGGGAUGGGGGGAAGGGAGGUGGGUAACACCUUGAUAGUGACAACAGCCCUGAGUGCCACAGAAGGACCCCCCCAAGAACGUCCAGAAAAUACCAGCUUCAACAUCAGAAUCAUACAAAGUUCACCAUCUCCCCCCAAGUUUGGGAACUUUGAUCUGAGGUCUUGGAGAAAGUGACCGCCACUGUGAGACCCAGAGAAGUUCGGUAGCUCACCGAAGAUCACAGAGCUAGGAAGCGACGAGGCUAGGACACGGCCUUGGGUGGGUCUGACUCUGCAGUCCGAGCCCUCACCCACCACAUGGGGCUGGUGUAGCUCUAGACCCAAGAGAGAGAGAAUACGAGCCAUGUGUGCAAUAUAAAUUUUCUCAUAGCCACAUUAGAAAUAGUAAACAGAAACAGGUAAAAUUAAUCCCAAUACUAUAUUUUAUUUAACCCAAUAGAUCCAAAAUAUUGUCAUUUUAAGACACCAUAAAUAUAUUAAAAAUUACUAAUAGGACAUUUCCCAUUUUUUUCAUACUAAGUGCUCAAAGUCCAGGGUGUAUAUUACACUCACAGCUCAUCUCAAUAUACUCGAGCCACGUCUCAGAAGCUCACUAGCCACACGUGGCCCCUGGCUACCAUACUGGGUGGCACAGCCCUAGAGAUGUGGUUCUCAACCAGGAGCAAACUGAUCCCCCAGGGGGACAUUUGGUGAUAAUGUAAAGAUACUUUUGAUUGUUACUACUCGGAGGGUGAUGCUACUGGCCUCUAGUGGACAGAGGCCAGGGAUGCCACUAACAUUCUCCAAUGCCCAAGACAGUCCACACAACACAGAAUGACCCAGCUCUAAAUGCCAACAGUGCCGUGUUUCACGCACCCUGCUCUCGAGAGAGAACCAGUUUGUGCUCCUUGAGUGAAUCGGCAGGAGCCUAGGAAUGCCAUGGACCCCAGCACCUAGCGUGCUGCCCGGCGCAUAGUGGGUACCCGAAAUCAGUGCUUGGAACUGAAUUCAAUGGAAGACAGCAAGGCCCAUGAUGCUAUCUCAGAGGAAUCAUACUCCAUCCUCUUCACCAGCAGUGCAGAGACACCAAGAGCCAGGAAAUGCGUCGUGAAAUCAAGAACAAGGGAUCAGUCUCAGUGCAACUGAUAGUUCACUUGCUUCAAGAUGCUACUGAACCAAGAUUGUAAAUAUCCAGUCUGCUGGGGUCAGGGUGCAGCUUUCUUCCCACUCCCCUUAGGCAUCCUGGGACAGCCCCAGCCCUUGGGACAGGGAAGCCUGUAGCUCCGGGGAGCAGAGUCAAGGAGGGUGCGUGUUAGGGCACUCGAUUGUGCCCUAACUACAUCCCACAACUACAUCCCUUUCGAACUGUGAGGCUUCCUCUCAAUUUUCUUAUUCAUUUUCAUCAUGUCCCCACACACUGCAUCCUUCAGUUCAGCCCAUUGCUAAGAAAACUGACCCUGAUCUGCAUCUUCCUCACCUUUGUCUACUUCCUUACUGGUUCUGAGCGCAGGUGGUGAAGCGAGGGGUGUUAUUUGGAGCACUGCCCCUAUCCCUAAGUUCACCGCAGGCAUAGAACUGGGGGCUCUCCGAAUCACUAUAAAUGCCCCAGGUCAGGGAUGGCGACGUCACUGUGGCUGCAAAGAGAAGCUUCUCAGUUGGCAUGGGGACAUUCCUCGUGACUGCCCGGGGUCAGGGCUCAGUGCUCCCAGUCAAUUAUAUCCACAGAGUUAUAGAUUUCUGCAACUGCUCAUCUAACUCAAAUCCCAUUUUAGUGACAAGAUGGGAGUUGUAUAGCCCUGUAGGAACAGAGCAGACUUGUCUCUAAGAACAGAGGUGGAAACAGGUCUCUUCAGUCCAAAGGUCAAGAACACAAUGGAAGGAUUUGGUGUGGUUUAGAAUCUCACCCCUCCAGCCGCCCUUGUGCUGGUGAUGCUCAAAUCUCUACUUUGCACUCUACCUUCCUUCCAGAGACCCAGACCCAGGGGUCCAUUUGAUCUUCCUUGUCAAGUAUUUGCUGAGCACCCACUCCAUCGAAGGCACUAGGGGGGUGCUCUCUUUCUCCCAGGCACCAACGCUCACUGCGUCCCUUGCUGUUACCCUCUAACUGCUCUUCCCUAGGCCCAGGGUGAUGCUGUCCCACAGUCCCUGACACCAGGUGCCCCAAGGCACCACCAGCUCCUCUUUUUUCAUCAUGCCAUUUCUGCCAACCAGGCCCAAGAGUCCUCCUCCUAAACACUCUGGGGUGUGUCCCCUCCCCUCCAUGCCUGCCAUAACUGCCUGGUCUGACCCCACCAUGCUGUCACCAGACUGCUGCCAUGGAUCUUCCUCUGGUCUUCAUCCCCAGCAGCACCCCCUGCACUCCAGCCUUCACACCCCCAAGGGCGGGGGGCUUCUGUUUAGCAGGCAUAUCAGAUCAUGACCCCACACUUAAUGUCCUUUGCUGGUGUUCCCCAGAGCCAUUUAGACAGAGGCUAAGCUUCAAGGCCUGGACGCACAUUGCCCUGCGAGUGGCUCCAGCUGAUGCUCCUGUUCUCGGCUUUCCCUCCCUUCCACACCGGCCACACUGGACUCUCCCUGGGUGCACCCCACCAUUCUGCCACUCUGUGCCCUUGCGUGGGCUAUCCUGCCACCUCGUGUGCUCUUCCAAACAGGCCAUUUCUAUUCAUCCUUCAGGACACAACUCAAAUGUCCUCACCCCUCAGAGUUGUUCCCCUGGGGUCUCAUUCACCAGUCAGUGUUGUGGGGCAGUGCGGGUCCUUCCUCUGACAGAAGUAAAAUCCUAACAUCAUUUUAAUAUAAUCAUCCCUGUAUCCCCAGGGCCUAGUGUCCUUAAACUGAAUAAAUGAAUGUCUUCUAUAAUUCUCUAUUUCUGCCAUAACUGCUAUUUCUGUAGCAUGAGUGAUUCUUGCAUCCCAAAGUAAACAGAAGUCUCCUUGCAAGCAGAGACAUGUUUUCAACUCAAGAGCAGUACAAUACAGUGUUAACAACUCAUGUUGGGAACCAGGUUUCUGGGG
Piliocolobus tephrosceles (Ugandan red Colobus) is the source of this 4207-nucleotide long non-coding RNA. RefSeq lists it as uncharacterized. The transcript has 3 exons. NCBI's taxonomy places the organism in Eukaryota, Metazoa, Chordata, Mammalia, Primates, Cercopithecidae. The record is from RefSeq and is a predicted model, not a curated record.